CUUGGUCAUUUAGAGGAAGUAAAAGUCGUAACAAGGUUUCCGUAGGUGAACCUGCGGAAGGAUCAUUACCUAGAGUUGUAGGCUUUGCCUGCUAUCUCUUACCCAUGUCUUUUGAGUACCUUACGUUUCCUCGGUGGGUUCGCCCACCGAUUGGACAAAUUCAAACCCUUUGCAGUUGAAAUCAGCGUCUGAAAAAACUUAAUAGUUACAACUUUCAACAACGGAUCUCUUGGUUCUGGCAUCGAUGAAGAACGCAGCGAAAUGCGAUAAGUAGUGUGAAUUGCAGAAUUCAGUGAAUCAUCGAAUCUUUGAACGCACAUUGCGCCCCUUGGUAUUCCAUGGGGCAUGCCUGUUCGAGCGUCAUUUGUACCUUCAAGCUCUGCUUGGUGUUGGGUGUUUGUCUCCUGUAGACUCGCCUCAAAACAAUUGGCAGCCGGCGUAUUGAUUUCGGAGCGCAGUACAUCUCGCGCUUUGCACUCAUAACGACGACAUCCAAAAGUACAUUUUUACACUCUU
Molecule: ribosomal RNA, 516 nt
Filed under: uncultured fungus
Lineage: Eukaryota; Fungi
Description: eukaryotic LSU rRNA
Rfam family: 5.8S ribosomal RNA (bases 210-363)
Source: RNAcentral